This 378-nucleotide ribosomal RNA is filed under the name uncultured eukaryote. Its description in RNAcentral is "partial 18S ribosomal RNA". It matches the Rfam family "Eukaryotic small subunit ribosomal RNA", at positions 592 to 976 of the family's 1831-position model. The record is from RNAcentral.
CAAUAGCGUAUAUUAAAGUUGUUGCAGUUAAAAAGCUCGUAGUUGGAUUUCGGGUCGUCCGGCGCGGUCCGCCGCGAGGCAGGUACUGCUCCGACGACCUUCUUCCCGACGGCCCCGUCUGCUCUUUAUUGCAGUGGACCGGGGACCUCGGGACGUUUACUGUGAAAAAAUUAGAGUGUUCAAAGCAGGCCGCCGCUUGGAUACAUUAGCAUGGAAUAAUGGAAGAGGACUUGGGUCCUAUUUUGUUGGUUUCCGGGACCGAAGUAAUGAUCAAUAGGGACAGUCGGGGGCAUUCGUAUUUAAUUGUCAGAGGUGAAAUUCUCGGAUUUAUGAAAGACGAACAAGUGCGAAAGCAUUUGCCAAGGAUGUUUUCAUUAA